AAAUAAGAAUUAAUAAUAAUUAAAUUUAAUUUCGACUUAAAAAUAGGAAACCUUUCCCUUAUUUU
RNAcentral lists this transfer RNA (65 nucleotides) under Hydropsyche pellucidula. Its description in RNAcentral is "tRNA-Arg". The record is from RNAcentral. Lineage: Eukaryota; Metazoa; Arthropoda; Insecta; Trichoptera; Hydropsychidae.